GUGCCAGCCGCCGCGGUAAUACCGGCAGCCCGAGUGAUGGCCGAUCUUAUUGGGCCUAAAGCGUCCGUAGCUGGCUGCGCAAGUCCGUCGGGAAAUCCACUCGCCUAACGCGUCGGCGUCCAGCGGAAACUGUCCGGCUUGGGGCCGGAAGACUCGAGGGGUACGUCCGGGGUAGGAGUGAAAUCCCGUAAUCCUGGACGGACCGCCGGUGGCGAAAGCGCCUCGAGAGGACGGACCCGACGGUCAGGGACGAAAGCUAGGGUCUCGAACCGGAUUAGAAACCCUAGUGGUCC
RNAcentral lists this ribosomal RNA (293 nucleotides) under uncultured bacterium. RNAcentral describes it as "partial 16S ribosomal RNA". It matches the Rfam family "Archaeal small subunit ribosomal RNA", at positions 455 to 747 of the family's 1478-position model. The record is from RNAcentral.